RNAcentral lists this transfer RNA (61 nucleotides) under Valvata hokkaidoensis. RNAcentral describes it as "tRNA-Leu(UUR)". Lineage: Eukaryota; Metazoa; Mollusca; Gastropoda; Valvatidae. The record is from RNAcentral.
UUUAAGAUGGCAGAUAAAUGCAUAGAUUUUAAACGUCUAAGAUGGAAUAUCCCUCUUAAAA